Molecule: long non-coding RNA, 13673 nt
Filed under: Homo sapiens (human)
Lineage: Eukaryota; Metazoa; Chordata; Mammalia; Primates; Hominidae
Description: non-protein coding lnc-BLM-6:6
Source: RNAcentral
GUUGCCUUACACACUAUGCAAGCUUUGCUGUUUGCAGUAAAACUGGCUGCUGCUUGCUCUUUGGGUCCACACUGACUUUAUGAGCUGUAGCACUCACCAUGAAGGUUUGUAGCUUUACUCUUGAAGCCAGUGAGAUUAAAAACCCACCGGGAGGAACAAACAACUCCAGUACGCGCCGCCUUAGGAGCUGUAACACUCACGGCGAAGGUCUGCAGCUUCACUCCUGAGCCAGCCGCACCACGAACCUAUCAGAAGGAAGAAACUCCGAACACAUCCGAACGUCAGGAACAAACUCCGGCCACGCCGCCUUUAAGAACUGUAGAACUCGCUACAGCACUCACCGUGAAGGUCUGCGAUUUCAUUCUUGAAGUCAGUGAGACCAAGAACCCACCAAGUCCGGACACAAUGGGACCUGUAUGCAGUCUAUGGGGCAGUUCAGACCAAAGGGCUGGGCGUGGCACCACAGCUGCCCCGAGCCCUUGGCCUCUCUGAGCUUUUCUCUCUCACCUGAGAAAUGGGAUUUCAAGGAAAAUGAGUAGCGGUAACUUACCCACCUUACUCCACGGUUACUGUGAAGCGCCCAGAAGAGAAGCCAUGGAUGUGGGCGACGCAUUCGAGAGCACAGCGCUGGGCUCCAGCCCUGAUGCAGAGGUACAAAGCUCGUCUGGGCAGAUUGUUAUGCAAAUCAAAAGAGGAAGCAGAGCUAGGGGAGCCGAGGAGCUCCUGCUGGGCUCUGCCAGGGAAGAAGCCGCAGUAGGAGCCCCUACGUAGGCCCUGCAAGAGGCCUGGCGUUCAGGAAAGGGCCCGCUGACCAUCCAGUGCAGGGAAAGGAGUCCAGCUCUGGCCUCUGCCCCUCAGCUCCACCUCCUGCAUUCCUAGGAGUUCUCCAGAGGAUCUGAUGGGAGCUCAGAACCGGUCCCAACAGCUCCCUCCACCCUUCAUGAACGGGGGCUGGAAAAUGUGGUCUGCUCUGAUAAGGAUUUGCGUCAGGCUACUGGCUACUCAGCAGCCGAGAAGAGCAAGCCUCCAGGCCUCUGCACGCGUGCCUUCUGCCCGAGACGAUGGAUUCAUGGAGUUACUGUGAGGAAGACACUCAGCAUCGUGCCUGGUAUCGUGUGUGCUUCAUAAACGCCAGCCAUAGCAUGAUUCUUUAUAAAGGCACCAGCUGCAUUUAUGGAGUAAAUGCCUUUCUUGUGUCAUCUCGCUUGACUGGCAAAGCCAUAAGGCCAGGUGAGGAAGAUGAGGCAGGGGAUGAAGAGGAUAUAACACGUAGGAGGUGAAGUCACUAACCCAAAUCCUUGCAGCCGGCAAGUGGUCAGAAUUCUUGGACCAGGUGUGAGGCCUUAAGAGAACAAGCUAGCCCAGGGCUUGGCAUGAAGUAGGUGCUUAAUAAAGAUUGGUUUUAGCCAGGCGCAGUGGCUCAUGCCUGUAAUCUCAGCACUUUGGGAGGCUGAAGCAGGAGGAUCACUUGAGCCCAGGAGUUCCAGACCAGCCUGGGCAACACGGCUAAUCCCUGUCUCUACUAAAAAUACAAAAAGAUUAGUCGGGUGUGGUGGCGCGUGCCUGUAAUCCCAGCUACUCGGGAGGCUGAGGCAGGAGAAUAGCUUGAACCUGGGAGGUAGACUUUGCAAUGAGCCAAGAUCGCACCACUGCACUCCAGCCGGGGCAACAGAGCAAGACUGUCUCAAAAAAAAAAAAAAAAAAAAAAAAAAAAAGACUGGUUUCUACCAUGCCUCCCUCCUCCCUCCUUCCCAUUCAGCCCAGAGGUUCUGGCAGGGCAGACAGAGCUCCAGGCCAAGGACCCCCAGGUGGAUGUACAGAGCAGACCCAGGCUGAGCCCAAUCUUUCCACCCUGCAGUUCAGCUCCUCCCUCCCCUUUCUCUUCCCAGUCUUCCUGAACCUGCACCUGGCCUCUCUGCACACCCCCGCGUUAUUUGGGGAUGUAAGAACUCAGGGUUCCCUCCCUUAUUACUUCUCCUUGUCCAUCCUGGUGAUAGUGCUUGACUCUCAACACACAAAAGGGGCUUUAAAAUGAUCCUUUGAAAAAAUAAUUUUUUUGCUGGGCACAGUGGCUCACGCCUGUAAUCCCAGCUCUUUGGGAGGCCAAGACAGGCGGAUCACCUGAGGUUGGGAGUUCAAGACCAGCCUGAUCAACAUGGAGAAACCCCGUCUCUACUAAAAAUACAAAAUUAGCUGAGCGUGGUGGUGCAGCUCUUCGGGAGGCUGAGGCAGGAGAAUCGCUUGAACCCAGGAGGCGGAGGUUGCAGUGAGCCGAGAUCAUGCCAUUGUACUCCAGCCUGGGCAACAAGAGUGAAACUCUGUCUCAAAAAAAAAAAAAAAAAAGAAAGAAAAAAAAGAAAAAAUAAUUCUUUAAAACUCUUUUUUAGAGACAGGGUCUCACUCCAUCACCCAGGCUGGAUGUCAUCAUAGUUCACUGUAACCUUGAACUUCUGGGCUCAAGCAAUUCUCCAGCCUCAGACUCCUGAGUAGCUGGGACCACAGGCGCAUACCACCACGCCUGGCUAAAACUGGUUCCUUUUUUUUUUUUUUGAGACAGUGCCUUGUCCUGUCCCCCGGGCUGCAGUGCAAUGGCACAAACACUGCCCACUGCAGCCUUGACCUCCUGGGCUCAAGCGAUCUUCCCCUACAGCCUCCUGAGUAGCUGGCACCACAGGCACGUGCCACCAUGCCUGGCCAAAUUUUUUUUUUUUUUUUGUAGGGAUGGAGUCUCACUAUGUUGCCCAAGCUGGUCUCAAUCUCCUGGGCUCAAGCCAUCCUCCUGCCUUGGCCUCCCAAAGUGCUGGGAUUAAAGGCAUGAGCCACCGUGCCCAGCCUAAAAAUGGUCUUGAUUCAAUGAGUGAGUAAAUGAAGCCUGUGCCCAGGGCCUGCCAGGCCCCCUGGGGCUGCCCACAGGGUAAACACAGACCCACACGGAGCCCCACUCCAGGCCUGGUCGAAAAAAAUGCUGCUCCAGCUGAAGGCUUUCUCAGAGAAAUGACUCAGCCUGAGCACUCAGAUGCAACUUCCACGUUUUAUGGACUGAAGGUGCUUUCAUAACAGCUGGUGAUGAUGAGCCAGAGGCGGGCUAUAAACAGAGCGGUGAUCUGGUCCUGAACACUCAGGUCUCAGCCCCCACCCACAAGCAGGGCCUCUGAGGCUGUGGCUUCUCCACACUGGUGCUGCUUUGUGCUGGCAAAUAGCACAGGCCCCCAAAAUGACCUGGAGGCUCCUUAACUGAGGAGGCAGAUGAGUGACAGGGCCAGACCUGCAGCCUCAAGGGCCUGGCUGUGCCCUCCCUAGCUCCCUUGGGCCUGGGAGCCUUCCAUGAACCUGUGGCCUGGGACCAAGAGCAUGGGGGGCCUAGUGAUGUGCCUGGUGGGGAGCGGGGAGUGCUGCCAGCAAUGACAGUCCCGCUGGGGGGACGUGGUACAGACUCACUGAGACACAGAACCCUGUGAGCAAGGGGGGUUCACUUAAUCCUCCCUGAGGACUCAGACAGGUGGGCUGCAGGCAGUGGGGUAGCCUUGCCUCUCACUCAUGCCCACCCACCCAUUUGCUCAUUCAUUCAGACAAGCGUGGAUUGAGUAUUUUCUUUUUUUUUCUUUUAAAGACAGGGUUUUGCUCUGUCGCUCAGGCUGAAGUGCAGUGGCAUGAUCUCAGCUCACUACAGCCUCAUCCUCCCAGGCUCAACCGAUCCUCCUGCCUCGGCCUCUCAAAGUAUUGGGAUUACAGGCGUGGCCCACGCCUGGUGAAUUGAGCACUUUCUUUCUUUUUCUUUUUUUUUUUUUUUUUUUUGAGAUGGAGUCUCACUCUGUCAUCCAGGCUGGAGUGCAGUGGCAUGACCUCGGCUCACUGCAACUUCUGCCUCCCGGGUUCAAGUGAUUCUCCUGCCUCAGUCUCCCAAGUAGCUGGGAUUACAGGCACCCACCACCACGCCCGGCUAGUUUUGUAUUUUUAGUAGAGAUGGGGUUUUACCAUGUUGGCCAGGCUGUUCUUGAACUCCUGACCUCAGGUGAUCCAUCCGCCUCGGCCUCCCAAAGUGUUAGGAUUACAGGCGUGGGCCACUGCGCCUGGCAAAUUGAGCACUUUCUUUUUUUUUUUUUGAGACCGGGUCUUGCUCUGUCACCAGGCUGGAGUGCAGUGGCCCAAUCUCAGCUCACUGCAACCUCCACCUCCCAGGUUCAAGCGAUUAUCCUGCCUCAGCCUCCAAGUAGCUGGGAUUACAGGCACGCGCCAUCACGCCCGGCUAAUUUUUUGUAUUUUAGUAGAGACAGGGUUUCACCGUGUUAGCCAAGAUGGUCUCGAUCUCCUAACCUCAUGAUCCACCCACCUUGGCCUCCCAAAGUGCUGGGAUUACAGAUGUGAGCCACCGUGCCCUGCCAAAUCGAGCACUUUCUAAGUGCCCACCUGUCAGCGUCACCCCAGGCUUUCCCAUCUCAGCCCGUGGCUCCACUCUCCUCUAGCUACUUUGGCCAAAAACCACAGAGUCAUCUUGGAUCCCAAUUUUUGCUUCACCCCCACAUCCAAUCUUUCGGCGAGUCCCGUCUGCUUUACCUCGGCACAUCAUCAGUGCGCUCAGUGCACUUCCCAGCCACCUCCCACGCUGGGCUGCUAACCUUCUGCCAGGUCACCAUAGCUACCACCAGCUCCUCCUGACCCUUUGGCCUUGGUCUCUAAAACCCAUUCUCCUCUCAUCAGAGUGACCUCAUCCCAGCAUCAUUCUGACCAUUUCUCAUCUUAAAGUCCUCAAAAGGGUCCUAUCAGAUAUUAACAAUUUUUAAAGAAAUUAAGACAGAAUGGCUUUGGCAUCUGGCUAUUAAAAAAAAAGGGUAGGGGGGGCCGAGUGCGGUGGCUCAUGCUUGUAAACCCAGAACUUUGGGAGGCCAAGGUGGGAGGGUCCCUUGAGCCCAGGAGUUCGAGACCAGCCUGGGCAACACAGAGAGACCCUGUCUUUACAAAAACAAAAUUAGCUGGGUGUGGCGGCACAUGCCUGUAGUCCUAGCUACUUGGGAGACUGAGGUGGCAGGAUCACUUGAGCCUGGGAGGUUGAGGCCGCGGUGAGCUGAGAUCAUGCCACUGCACUCCGGCCUGGGUGACAGAGUGAGAGCCCAUUUAAAAAUGAAAAAUAAAGGGAAAAAAAAGGACAGAACAGGAGUCCCGGAGACAGAACCUUGCAUAAAUGAGAAUUUGCCGUAUGACAGAGAAGCAUCACCAACCAGUGGGGAAAAGAUAGACUCUUUUAUAAAUGGCGUUGGGACAAGUGGUGAUCCAUAUGGGAAAGUAAAAUUAGAUCCCCACCUAACACCACACACACAACUCCAGGUGGAUUCAGGACUUACAUGUGAAUAACAAAAUUUUAACACAUUUAGAAGAAAAUAUAGAAGAAUAUUUUUAUGACCUCAGGGUAAGGAACAAUUUCUUUUUUAAAUAAACUUUUUGUUUGAUUACAACAUGCAUAGUGUACAAGUCAUAAGGGUGCCGCUUGAUGAAAUUUCACAGUGACCCCAGCUGUGUAGCCAGCAUCCAGAUCAACAAGCGGGAUGUAAGGCCAGGCACGGUGGCUCACUCCUGUAAUCCCAACACUUUGGGAGGCCGAGGAGGGCGGAUCAGAAGGUCAGGAGUUUGAGACCAGCCUGGCCAAUAUGGUGAAACCCCGUCUCAACUAAAAAUACAAAAAUUAGCCCGGCAUGGUGGCACACACCUGUAGUCCCAGCUACUUGGGAGGCUGUGGCAGAAGAAUCGCUUGAACCCUGGAGGCGGAGUUUGCAGUAACCCGAGAUCGUGCCACUGCACUCCAGCCUGGCGAAAGGGCGAGAAUCCGUCUAAAAAAAAUAAAAAUAAAAAACACAACAACAAAUGGGACAUAGCCAGUGCCUUCCAAAGCCCCCACGUGCCUCUUUUUUUCUUUCUUUUUUUUUUUUGUUUGAGACGGAGUCUUGCUCUGUUGCCCAGGCUGGAGUGCAGUGGCAUGAUCUCGGCUCACUGAAACCUCCGCCUCCUGGAUUCAAGCAACUCUCCUGCCUCAGCCUCCUGAGUAGCUGGGACUACAGGCACACACCACCAUUCCUGGCUAAUUCUUUUUUUAUUUUUAGUAGAGACGGGGUUUCACCAGUUGGCCAGGAUGGUCUCGAUCUCCUGACCUCAUGAUCCACCCGCCUCAGCCUCCCAAAAUGCUGGGAUUGCAGGUGUGAGCCACCACACUCAGCCUUCUUUUUUUUUUUUUUUUUUUUUUUUUGAGACGGAGUUUUGCUCUUGUUGCCCAGGUUGGAGUGCAAUGGCACGGUCUCGGCUCACCGCAGCCUCCCCUUCCUGGGUUCAAGUGAUUCUCCUGCCUCAGCCUCCCCAGUAGCUGGGAUUACAGGCAUCCGCCACCACACUCGGCUAAUUUUUUUUUUUUUUCUUUAGUAGAGACAGGGUUUCUCCAUGUUGGUCAGGCUGGUCUCAAACUCCCGAUGCCAGGUGAUCCUCCCGCCUCAGCCUCCCAUAGUGUUGGGAUUACAGGCGUGAGCCACCGUGCCCAGCCUUUUUUUUCUUUUCUUUUCUUUUUUUUGAGAUGGAGUCUCACUCUGUUGCCCAGGCUGGAGUGCAAUGCAAUGGCGUGAUCUCAGCUCACUACAACCUCUACCUCCCGGAUUCAAGCGAUUCUCCUGUCUCAGUCUCCCAAGUAGCUGGGAUUACAGGUGUGUUCUACCACGCCCAGAUAAUUUUUGUAUUUUUAGUAGAGACAGGGUUUCACCAUGUUGGCCAGGCUGGUCUUGAACUCCUGACAUCAAGUGAUCCACCUGCCUCAGCCUCCCAGAGUGCUGAGAUUACAGGUGUGAGCCACGGCACCCAGCUCCUCAUGCCUUUUGACAGGAAAGAGUAUCUUAGGCACAAAAGGUAUCAGCUACAAUGGAAAAAAAUUGAUGAGUCUGAUGAUAUUGACAUUUAAAUCUUAAGUUCAACAAAAAAAAAUGCCACAAGAUUAAAGGAUACGUACAGCUGAGCACCAUGACUCGUAUCUGUAAUCCCAGCAUUUUGGGAGACUGAGGCAGGCAGAUUACUUGAGCUGAGGAGUUUGAGACCAGCCUGGGCAACAUGGCAAAACUCUGUCUCUACAAAAAAUACAAAAAUUAGCCAGGUGUGGUGGCGUAUGCCUGUAGUCCCAGUUACUUGGAAGGCUGAGGUGGGAGAAUCACUGGAACCUGGGAGGCAGAGGUUGCAGUGAGCUGAGACUGGGCCACUGCACUCCAGCCUGAGUGACAGAGCAAGACCCUGUCUCAAAAAUAAAUAAAUAAAUAAAUAAAUAAAUAAAUAAAUAACAGAUAUGCACAAUAUGGAGGAAAUAUCUGCAAUAUAAUCAGCAAAUUGGUAUCCAGAAUAUGUAAAGGUCUUCUGCAAAUCAAGAAGAGAGACAACCAACCCAACAGAAAAUUUGGCACAGGUUAUGAACCUUAUAGGAAAAAAAAGCCUAGAUGGCCAAUAAUCAUAUGAAAAAGAGGCUCUGGGCUGGGCAUGGUGGUUCAUGUCAAUAAUCCCAGCAAUUUGGGAGGCCAAGGUGGGAGGAUCACUUGAGUCCAGGAGCUGGAGAACAGACUGGGCAGCAAAGUGAGACCUCGUCUCUACAGAAAACAAAAUAAUUAGCCGGGCAUGAUGGUGCAUGCCUGUAGUCCCAGCUACUCUGGAGGCUAAAGCAGGGGGAUGGAUUGAAUCCAGCAGAUGGAGGCUACAGUGACCUAUGAUCAUGCCACUGCAUUCCAGCUUGGGCAGCAGAGUGAGACCCUGCCUCAAAAACAGAAAAAGUCUCUGUCUCAAUAGUAUCAGAGACAUGUAAAUUUUUUUUUGAGAUAGUCUCACCCUGUUGCCCAGGCUGGAGUGUACUGGUGCAGUCUCAGCUCACUGCAACCUCCACCUCCUGGGUUCAAGCAAUUCUCCUGCCUCAGCCUCCCAAGUAGCUGGGAUUACAGGUGUGCACCACCACGCCUGGCUAAUUUUUGUAUUUUUAGUAGAGACGAGGUUUUGCCAUGUUGGCCAGGCUGGUCUCGAACUCCUGACCUCAAGUGAUCCACCCACAUUAGCCUCCCAAAGUGCUGGGAUUACAGGCGUGAGCCACUGCGCCUGGCUGAGAAAGGUAAAUUAAAACAACAAGGAGAUAUUAUGUCUCACCCAUCAGAUAAUUUAAAAUGGAAGAAAACAUAAAAGCUGAUAUUAUUAAAUGUAGACCCAAAUGAGACUCCUUAAAAACACCAGCUCUGGGCUGGGCGCGGCGGCUCAUGCCUGUAAUCCCAACACUUUGGGAGGCCGAUAUGGGUGGAUCACGAGGUCAGGAGAUGGAGACCAUCCUGGCUAACACCGUGAAACCACAUCUCUCCUAAAACUACAAAAAAUUAGCCCAGCAUGGUGGCACGCACCUGUAGUCCCAGCUACUCGGGAGGCUGAGGCAGGAGAAUCACUUAAACCGCAGAGGCAGAGGUUGCAGUGAGCCAAAAUCACAUCAUUGCACUCCAGGCUGGGCAAAAGAGCAAGACUUCGUCUCAAACAAACAGACAAACAAAUAAAAACCCACCAGCUCUGGAGAAGAUUGGUAAAGCCACUUGGAAGUGACACAAAAUGGCAGCUUGAAGGUCAGGUCAAGAUCAGGGUGAAGGUGAGAACAUCUGUGAGCAUUCCUCUUCCAGGCAGAGACUCUACAGAAGCUCUAUGAGCAUCCCAGGAGGAAGAAAUUGGAAACGUCAUCAAGGAGAUACACAAGGUAUGAUACACUCAUACAAUGGAAAAUGGCCGGACAAAUGAAAGAAACAACAUCAAAGUGAAUUAUCAUAAGAUACACCAAGCAGGGCCAGGGUGGGGCCAGGUCCACCUCUCCUGUUGCCCAAUCUUGAAGGUGGCAGAGGACCUUUGAGGCACCUUGCUGGCCCACUGAGGAGCUGUGGCCGAGGCACACGCCCAUCAGGGCUGACUCCUUGCUGGGAACUGGGUCAGGUGGAUGGACGUGGUGACGAGCAACAGUGAGGUUUCCCCCACAUCCUUUCACCUGCCCUGCUGCGUCUGCUGCUGAGUCAGGAUCCAUCUGGGGAGCCACCGUGGGACACUCUCCCCUAUGGGAGAGUGGUAAGGUUCUGGAGUAACACAUGGGACUGGAAAUGUUUCUGUGGCCAUUUUUAUUUUUAUUUAUUUUUUUAAGACAGAGUCUUGCUCUGUUGCUCAGGCUGGAGUGCAGUACUGUGAUCUCAGCUCACUGCAACCUCUGCCUGUGGGAGUUCAAGCAAUUCUUCUGUCUCAGCCUCCCAAGUAGCUGGGAUUACAAGCACCCACCACCACGCCUGGCUAAUUUGUGUAUUUUUAGUAGAGAUGGGGUUUCACCAUGUUGGCUAGUCUGGUGUCAAACUCCCGACCUCAGGUGAUCUGCCCAUCUGAGACUCCCAAAGUGCUGGGAUUACAGAGCUGAGUGACAGAGUGAGACUCUGUCAAAAAAAAAAAAAAAAAAAAAGAAAGGAAGGAAGAGAAAUAGAAAGAAAGAAAGAAAAAGAAAGAAAGAAAGAAAAGAAAGAAAGAAAAGCUGGAAUGAGUCAGGGCAGAAUCAUAGAAUGUCUGGGUGUGAAUCCUGGCUUCCCUCCUUUCCAGUGAAGCAACCUUGGGCGAGUGGCUUGACCACUCUGUGCCUGUUUCCUCACCUGUAGCAGUUAGGAAUGCAUUUGGCUGCAGGUAACUGCAGAGCUCCAACCUCCCGCAAAACAGCAGCUUUGUUCAUUUCAUCUUGAAAAGCUCAGCCAUGUGCGGUUGCUGGUUUUGGUUCAGGAGGUCAGAGAGAGGAUUCAUCAUCUUUGUCUUUUUUCUUAGAAAAACCUGUUUACCUGAAGACUUCCCCUCAAUGUCACUGCCAAAGGGAAGCCUUGCAACCAGGCUGCCGGUUGCACGGAUCCAACAUUUGCUCUGUGGGUCUCAGCCUGGGUCAAACUCACACCUCUAAGGGAUGUUUGGAAAUGUGUGGAGUCAUUUUGGGUUGUCACAAUGAUUUAGCUGCAAUGCAUAGAACAGUCUUAUAUGAAGAAUUGUCCUGCCCUAGAAGAAAAAAAAAUGUCCCACCCAAAUGCCAAAAUGUCUGUGCCCCACUGAAAAGCUCCAGCCUCCGUAAGUGGAGGCAGUGAGUAGGGAAGGGCUGAGACAGAUGCAGGUCAGGCACCAGCCCUCACUCCUGCCACAUCCAGCUUGUAGGGCUGUGCCAGGGAGCAUGGGGAUGUGCCCAGGCCAGCGCCUGGCAUGAGCACAUGUUGGGGUCCCCAAGGCGUGCCUAAGGGGCGCUUUGGCCAGAGCACUGUGGCAAGGUCUGAGACUGGCAAAGAAUGACCCCGGGGACUGAGCAGUGGAUGCAGGUGGAAACAGAGUGCCUCUGAUUUUCCUCUGACCUUCUUGCCUCUCUUCAAAGCCUGCCUGGCCCUCGGAGGCUGCCCAGUGCAUCAUAGUACAUCCCACGGUGGCUCCCCAGAUGGAUUCUGACUCAGCAGCAGACGCAGCAGGGCAGGCAAAAGGAUGUGGGGGAAACCUCACUGUGGCUCAUCACCACGUCCAUCUGCCUCACCAAGUUCCCAGCAAGGAGUCGGCCCUGAUGGGUGUAUUCCUCAGCCACAGCUCCUCAGUGGGCCAGCAAGGUGACUCGAAGGGCCUCUGCCACCUCUAAGAUUGGGGAACAGGAAAGAUGGACCUGGCCCCACCCCAGCCUGCGGGUCACCACCCAUGGCGGGACAAGUGAGAAAAGUUGGCCUUGCUCACCGCUGGAGCCCAAACCACAGGUUUCAUUUCCCCUUGAUAAAGACAAUGUUUGCUAUUGUUGCAUCUGAUGGUAAAAGCAAGUCAUAUUCACUAUCAAAAAGUUUGAAAGGCGGCCGGGCACGGUGGCUCACACUUGUAUUCCCAGCAUUUUGGGAGGCCGAGGCAGGCGGAUCACAAGGUCAAGAGAUCGAGACCAUCCUGUCCAACAUGGUGAAACCCCAUCUCUACUAAAAAUACAAAAAUUAGAUGGGCAUGGUGGCGUGCACCUGUAGUUCCAACUACUUGGGAGGCUGAGGCAAGAGAAUCGCUUGAACCCGGGAGGCAGAGGUUGCUGUGAGCCCCAAGAUUGCACCACUACACUCUAGCCUGGCAACAGAGCGAGACUCCGUCUCAAAAAACAAAAAAAAAAAGGAAAAUAAGAAUCCAGCCUCAAGCCUGUCACCCAGGAACAAUCACUCUAGUUGGCUGGUGUAUUUCCCUCCAGUCUUUUUUUCAGUGUAUGUAUAUAAACUUUAUUUAUAUAUAUUAUUUUAUAGCCAGCUGCUUUUUUUCUUUUAAUUCUAAAUGAUGGGCUGUUUUUUGUUUUAAAACACUGUAGACCAGCCAAGUGUGGUGGCUCAAACCGGUAAUCCCAGCACUUUUGGAGGCUGAGGUGGGCAGAUCACUUGAGCCCAGGAAUUCAAGACCAGCCUGGGCAACAUGGCAAAACCAUGUCUCUACCAAAAAUAAAAAAAUUAGCCAGGCAUGGUUCCAUGCACCUGUAGUCCCUGCAACUUGGGAGGCUGAGAUGGGAGGAUCACCUGAGCCCAGAGAGGUCGAGGCUACAGUGAGCCAUGAUCAUGCCAUCACACUCCAGCCUGGGUGACAAGAGUGAGACCCUGUCUCAAAAACAAACAAACAAACAAACAAAAAAAAACACAGGCUGGGCACAGUGGCUCAUGCCUGUAAUCCCAGCACUUCGGCAGGCCAAGGUAGGUGGAUCACCUGAGGUCAGGAGCUCAAGACCAGCCUGGCCAACAUGGCGAAACCCUGUCUCUACUAAAAAUACAAAAAUUAGCCGGGUGUGGUGGCACACGCCUGUAAUCCCAGCUACUUGGGAGGCUGAGGCAUGAGAAUCGCUUGAACCCGGGAGGUGGAGCUUGCAGCGAGCUGAGAUUGUGCCACUGCACUCCAGCCUGGGCGACAGAGCAAGACUGCAUCUCAAAAGAACAAACAAAAACAAAAACCACUGUAGACCAAGCAAACUCAACUCUUCCUCCUCCCAUGCAGUGCUCCCUCUGCCUGUUUCCCCACAUCACCUGUGUGAUGGGGAGUGGGGGGGCACACAGCGAGGCUGAGGACUCAUGGAAUGACCCUUGGGAAGCCAGAAUGGGCACGGGUACACAUUUCCAAGCAGGAGACUCACUGAUCUACCCACCCCGGGUCCCCAACCACACUGGGAAUCCCCUCCAUGAACGGGAGGAGCCUCUAUCACACACACACACACACACACACACACACACACACACACACACGGAGACCACAGAGAGAACAUGGGCACCGUGGGCAACUGUUUGAAAAUUUCUGAGCUGCUUCUCAGAUAAAGAGAGCACUCUCAUCUUCCUUGUCCUUCUCCAGAAUCAGCAGAAAUCAAGUUUCUCACCUUCCAAGCUCAGCCAAGAAAUUUCAAUUCCAGUGACGACAGAGCUGGUGUGGGGUGGAUGGUUCCCAUGGGAAGGUGUGGGUCACAGGCUGGGCUCUUAGUACUGGGAAAGUCCCUAGGCCAAGUCAGAAUCCCAGGUGUCCUCCCUGAGCACCUGCUGUGUGCAGGAUGCCAUGCCAAACAUUUUAUGAAUUAGUUCAUCCCAUUCUUGUGACACCUCAGCAGGGGAGGUAUCAGUACCCCCAUUUAAUGGAUGAAGAAAUGGAGGCCCUGCAAAAUUAAGCCACAGGCCAACUUCCUCAUGGAUGGAUCAAGCAUCUGAAGCCAAGAGAGUGGACAUGGCCUGUCCAGACUGGGGACCAGCGCAAGGCAAGGUUUAUCCUGCUGGGCCAGGCCCGGCUGCCUCUCUCAGAGGGCACUGGGGAGUUUGCCCUGGACACAGGCUAGGGGCAAAGGCUCACAUGGACAUGUCGAGUCAGCUGCCAGAUCCUGGGCUCUAGGCCUCCCCAACAUCUUCCCAAUGCACCCAGCUGACUCCUGGAGUCCAGAAAGUCCAAACUGUAGAAGGUCACCCCAAGCGCCCUGGGACUUCGCACUCUGCGCUGGCUGACAUGUGGGGCUGGAAUGGCUUCUUCCACUGGGCGUGUAUGUGGGCGUGGGAAUGGACACAUGUGCUCUGUCUCCCGGCCCAACUGUCCAGUCACAGGCGACAGCAUCUGGGUCUGUGGCAAGUUCAGAGCUCCAGACCUGCCUUCCCCACUGAUGCCCUGUGUGACCUGGACCCGGUCUCACUCCCUCCCUGAGUCCCAGUUGUUCUUCUCUUCUGUGGAAUCCUAACCCUGUGAUUCCUGAAGGGGAGGGACAGUAAAGACACAUUUCUUUCUUUUCUUUUUCUUUUUAAGAGAGAAGAUCUGGCGGCCGGGCGUGGUGGCUCAUGCCUAUAAUCCCAGCACUUGGGGAGGCUGAAGCAGGUGGGUCACCUGAGGUCAGGAGUUUGAGACCAGCCUGACCAACAUGGUGAAACUGUGUCUCUACUAAAAAUACAAAAAUCAGCCAGGUGUGGUGGCAGGCACCUGUAGUCCCAGCUACUUGAGAGAUUGAGACAGGAGAAUCACUAGAACCCGGGAGACGGAGGUUGCAGUGAGCCGAGAUCGUGCCACUGUACUCCAGCCUGGGUGACAAAGAGAGACUCUCUCAAAAGAAAAAAAAAAGGAGAAUCUGGCUAUGUUGCACAGGCUGGAGUACAGUGGCUAUUCACAGCACCAUCCCACUACUGAUCAAU